This is a long non-coding RNA of Bombus pascuorum, 875 nucleotides long. RefSeq lists it as uncharacterized. The transcript has 2 exons. The record is from RefSeq and is a predicted model, not a curated record. NCBI's taxonomy places the organism in Eukaryota, Metazoa, Arthropoda, Insecta, Hymenoptera, Apidae.
CUCUUUCCUUCUCUCUCUCUCUCUCUCUCUGUCUUUUCUUUUCUUUUCUCCCUCGUUGGUUUGUUGGUUCGUUCGCGGUGACCUCUCCGUGGUCGUAGAUAAUGUACUCGAACCGCGAAGAAGAAAGGAAGAGAUAAUCAGAAGCAGCGAAGGAGGCGCAGGCAAGCACAGAAGAAGAGAAGCUGAUCUUGUAGCUACUCCUCUCGAGAUCUUGUCGCUUUGGUUUUCACUGCCAAUAAAGUGCCACGCGUGCUCCUCUUUUUUUUCUUCCCCUUUUCGGACAAUGCGUUUUAUCACGUUGCUAGUACAUGUGACAGACUCGAUACCAAUUAAUAGAAAUUCGUUCCAGCCGUCGGAGAUGACAAUCGACAACAGAGAGCGUUGUUUAUUAUGAAUCGUAUUUUUUUACGUAGACAAGCAAAUACUUGGACGUUGACGAGCCAUUGUCGGUAUACGAUCUUUCAAGGCCUAACUUUAAAGAAGAUGAACCGAAACGAUCUUAACGACUUAGACGUGCACGUGCAGUGACUGUCCAGAUUACAACCUUACCGCUAUAUUUAAAUGUGAUCAGUAUAUUUGUAUAUCUGUAUCUUUCUUCCCGCUUUCUUCUCUUAGUGUGUCUACCAAUCUCUCUCUUCCUCUAGUGGUUUAUAUACCGUGUCUAUUUUCGGUUGGAAUUCAACGCGAGAUUUUGCGGUGGGCACCGUAUUAUGUAUCGUUCCUAACAAAAGUUGGCCAGUAAUCGAGAACCGAUAUAUGAAAACGGACGCUAUCUCCAUUUGUAAAAUGAUUAUGGUUUAAUUGUAAAUGUGAUAUAUUUAUCAUUACCGUAUUAAGCCGUUGGGUGUAGAAAUUGAGAAUGAGUCGUGCGCAAU